CCUACGGGAGGCAGCAGUGAGGAAUAUUGGUCAAUGGACGAGAGUCUGAACCAGCCAAGUAGCGUGAAGGAUGACUGCCCUAUGGGUUGUAAACUUCUUUUAUAAAGGAAUAAAACGAGGCACGUGUGCCUUUUUGCAUGUACUUUAUGCAUAAGGAUCGGCUAACUCCGUGCCAGCAGCCGCGGUAAUACGGAGGAUCCGAGCGUUAUCCGGAUUUAGUUGGUUUAACGGGGGCGUAGAUGGGUUGUUAAGUCAGUUGUGAAAGUUUGCGGCUCAACCGUAAAAUUGCAAUUGAUACUGGCAGUCGUGAGUACAGUUGAGGUAGGCGGAAUUCGUGGUGUAGCGGUGAAAUGAUUAGAUAUCACGAAGAACCCCGAUUGCGAAGGCAGCUUACUAAACUGUGACUGACAUUGAUGCUCGAAAGUGUGGGUAUCAAACAGGAUUAGAUACCCGAGUAGUC
RNAcentral lists this ribosomal RNA (460 nucleotides) under uncultured bacterium. RNAcentral's name for it is "partial 16S ribosomal RNA". It matches the Rfam family "Bacterial small subunit ribosomal RNA", at positions 338 to 795 of the family's 1533-position model. The record is from RNAcentral.